RNAcentral lists this ribosomal RNA (538 nucleotides) under Beania klugei. RNAcentral's name for it is "partial 16S ribosomal RNA". It matches the Rfam family "Bacterial large subunit ribosomal RNA", at positions 1795 to 2605 of the family's 2925-position model. Lineage: Eukaryota; Metazoa; Bryozoa; Gymnolaemata; Cheilostomatida; Beaniidae. The record is from RNAcentral.
UUCGACUGUUUAACCAAAAACAUAGCUUCUGGCAAUCAUAAGAAGUUACGUCUGCCCGGUGAUUCAACAAAUUUAACGGCCGCGUUUAGUGCUAAGGUAGCAUAAUCAUUUGCCUCUUAAUUGGGGGCUAGUAUGAAUGGAUCAAACGAAGCUUUACUGUCUCAGGAUAUAAAAAGAAAAUUGAUUUAAAGGUGAAAAAGCCUUUAUUUAUGUGAAGGACGAAAAGACCCUGUAGAGUUUUAGUAAAGUUUUCCGUGCCCAGCAAACUUUUUUAAGUAAAUAGUUUGAGCAUAGAAACUUACUUUUAUUGGGGCAAUAAAAGAACAAUAAAACUCUUUUUAACAAAAAUUUAAGAUAUUAAAAUGACAAUAAUCCUCAAAGAGAAACAAGAAAAACUACCUCAGGGAUAACAGCGUAAUUCUACCAGAGAGAACUGAUCGAAGGAAGAGUUUGCGACCUCGAUGUUGGACUAAGGUAACCUUAAGGUGCAGAAGCUUUAAAGAGUAAGCCUGUUCGGCUUUUAAUACCUUACAUGAUG